Molecule: long non-coding RNA, 339 nt
Organism: Juglans microcarpa x Juglans regia
Lineage: Eukaryota; Viridiplantae; Streptophyta; Magnoliopsida; Fagales; Juglandaceae
Exons: 3
Source: RefSeq, a predicted model, not a curated record
AAGCUCGAGUUGAAGAAGACGUUGCUUAAAGCAAAUGAUACCUCUGCUGCAACAGUUGUGGCAAGGGCAGAUCCCAAUAAGGUUAACUUGAGCCAAUUGGUAGAUUUAGCAACGACUUGGUUUGAUGAAAAAUGGAAGGCCAAAUCUGAAAAAAAUAAGGAAUGUCGUGGAAAGCAAAAGGUGGUUCACAGCAUAGGCUCCAAAAGCUAUACCCGAUAUGCUAGUGAGUGGGAAAAAAGGACCGGAGCCUUGCCAAGUCGAGCACAAUUAUUUGUAAAUACCCACAAACGUAAGGAGGACACACAUUUGAAUAAUGAAACGGAAAAAAUAGUGGUAUGU